GCGUCUUCGGCGUCCGCAUUGUAAUCUCAAGAAGUGUUUUCCGCUUCGGACCAUGCCUAAGUCCCUUGGAAAAGGGCAUCAUAGAGGGUGAUAAUCCCGUACAUGGCAUGGAGCGCCCGAGGCUUUGUGAUACGCUUUCUAAGAGUCGAGUUGUUUGGGAAUGCAGCUCAAAAUGGGUGGUAAAUGCCAUCUAAGGCUAAAUAUUGGGGAGAGACCGAUAGCGAACAAGUACAGUGAUGGAAAGAUGAAAAGAACUUUGAAAAGAGAGUUAAACAGUACGUGAAAUUGCCAAAAGGGAAGGGUAGGAGGUCAGAGAUGCGUCUUGGGAUUCAGCCUUGCUUUUGCUUGGUGUUUUUCCCAAGUUGCAGGCCAACGUCGGUUUUGGGCACUGGAGAAGGGUGGAAGGAACGUGGCACCUCUCGGGGUGUGUUAUAGCCUUCUACUGGAUACAGCGACCGAGACCGAGGACAGCAGCGUACUCGCAAGAGCGGGCCUUCGGGCACCUUUACGCUUAGGGCGUUGGCAUAAUGGCCCUCUACCACCCG
This 545-nucleotide ribosomal RNA is filed under the name Anthracocystis elionuri. RNAcentral's name for it is "LSU rRNA". It matches the Rfam family "Eukaryotic large subunit ribosomal RNA", at positions 125 to 651 of the family's 3401-position model. Lineage: Eukaryota; Fungi; Basidiomycota; Ustilaginomycetes; Ustilaginales; Ustilaginaceae. The record is from RNAcentral.